This 73-nucleotide transfer RNA is filed under the name Marmota marmota marmota (Alpine marmot). It matches the Rfam family "tRNA". Rfam says of the family: Transfer RNA (tRNA) molecules are approximately 80 nucleotides in length. Their secondary structure includes four short double-helical elements and three loops (D, anti-codon, and T loops). Lineage: Eukaryota; Metazoa; Chordata; Mammalia; Rodentia; Sciuridae. The record is from Rfam by way of RNAcentral. RNAcentral also lists the same sequence under 1 other name.
AGAGUUGUAUCUCAGUUGGUAGAGUGCUUGCCUCGAAUGCACAGAGCCCUGGGUUCAUCCCCCAGCACCACCA